UGCAGAUUAGUGAAACGGUAUCACGCUGGGCUCAUAAUCCAGAAUUCCUGUUCGAAUCAGGGUCU
RNAcentral lists this transfer RNA (65 nucleotides) under Streptomyces phage Sushi23. Its description in RNAcentral is "tRNA-Met". It matches the Rfam family "tRNA". Rfam says of the family: Transfer RNA (tRNA) molecules are approximately 80 nucleotides in length. Their secondary structure includes four short double-helical elements and three loops (D, anti-codon, and T loops). The record is from RNAcentral. Lineage: Duplodnaviria; Heunggongvirae; Uroviricota; Caudoviricetes; Stanwilliamsviridae.